RNAcentral lists this non-coding RNA (52 nucleotides) under Limnoraphis robusta CS-951. The record is from RNAcentral. Lineage: Bacteria; Bacillati; Cyanobacteriota; Cyanophyceae; Oscillatoriales; Sirenicapillariaceae.
GUUACAAUUAACAAGAAUCCCUAUUAGNAGAAUCCCUAUUAGGGAUUGAAAC